RNAcentral lists this ribosomal RNA (909 nucleotides) under Cellulomonas sp. KAR83. Its description in RNAcentral is "bacterial SSU rRNA". It matches the Rfam family "Bacterial small subunit ribosomal RNA", at positions 38 to 955 of the family's 1533-position model. The record is from RNAcentral. Lineage: Bacteria; Bacillati; Actinomycetota; Actinomycetes; Micrococcales; Cellulomonadaceae.
UGCGGCGUGCUUAACACAUGCAAGUCGAACGGUGACGGAGGAGCUUGCUCCCCCUGAUCAGUGGCGAACGGGUGAGUAACACGUGAGUAACCUGCCCCAGACUCUGGGAUAACAUCGGGAAACCGGUGCUAAUACCGGAUAUGAGACGAGACUGCAUGGUCAUCGUCUGGAAAGAUUUAUCGGUCUGGGAUGGACUCGCGGCCUAUCAGCUAGUUGGUGAGGUAAUGGCUCACCAAGGCGACGACGGGUAGCCGGCCUGAGAGGGCGACCGGCCACACUGGAACUGAGACACGGUCCAGACUCCUACGGGAGGCAGCAGUGGGGAAUAUUGCACAAUGGGCGCAAGCCUGAUGCAGCAACGCCGCGUGGGGGAUGAAGGCCUUCGGGUUGUAAACCCCUUUUAGCAGGGAAGAAGCGAAAGUGACGGUACCUGCAGAAAAAGCGCCGGCUAACUACGUGCCAGCAGCCGCGGUAAUACGUAGGGCGCAAGCGUUGUCCGGAAUUAUUGGGCGUAAAGAGCUCGUAGGCGGUUUGUCGCGUCUGCUGUGAAAGUCCGAGGCUCAACCUCGGAUCUGCAGUGGGUACGGGCAGACUAGAGUGUGGUAGGGGAGACUGGAAUUCCUGGUGUAGCGGUGGAAUGCGCAGAUAUCAGGAGGAACACCAAUGGCGAAGGCAGGUCUCUGGGCCAUAACUGACGCUGAGGAGCGAAAGCGUGGGGAGCGAACAGGAUUAGAUACCCUGGUAGUCCACGCCGUAAACGGUGGGCACUAGAUGUGGGGCUCUUUCCAUGAGUUCCGCGUCGCAGCUAACGCAUUAAGUGCCCCGCCUGGGGAGUACGGCCGCAAGGCUAAAACUCAAAGGAAUUGACGGGGGCCCGCACAAGCGGCGGAGCAUGCGGAUUAAUUCGAU